RNAcentral lists this ribosomal RNA (253 nucleotides) under uncultured bacterium. RNAcentral describes it as "partial 16S ribosomal RNA". It matches the Rfam family "Bacterial small subunit ribosomal RNA", at positions 524 to 776 of the family's 1533-position model. The record is from RNAcentral.
UACGAAGGGGGCUAGCGUUGUUCGGAAUUACUGGGCGUAAAGGGCGCGUAGGCGGUGUGUCAAGUCAGGCGUGAAAGCCCCGGGCUCAACCUGGGAACCGCGCUUGAGACUGGCACGCUCGAGUUCGGGAGAGGAUGGUGGAAUUCCCAGUGUAGAGGUGAAAUUCGUAGAUAUUGGGAAGAACACCGAUGGCGAAGGCAGCCAUCUGGGCCGACACUGACGCUGAGGCGCGAAAGCGUGGGGAGCAAACAGG